GACGAACGCUGGCGGCGUGCUUAACACAUGCAAGUCGAACGGAAAGGCCCUGCUUUUGUGGGGUGCUCGAGUGGCGAACGGGUGAGUAACACGUGAGUAACCUGCCCUUGACUUUGGUAUAACUUCAGGAAACUGGGGCUAAUACCGGAUAGGAGCUCCUGCUGCAUGGUGGGGGUUGGAAAGUUUCGGCGGUUGGGGAUGGACUCGCGGCUUAUCAGCUUGUUGGUUGGGUAGUGGCUUACCAAGGCUUUGACGGGUAGCCGGCCUGAGAGGGUGACCGGCCACAUUGGGACUGAGAUACGGCCCAGACUCCUGCGGGAGGCAGCAGUGGGGAAUAUUGCACAAUGGGCGGAAGCCUGAUGCAGCAACGCCGCGUGCGGGAUGACGGCCUUCGGGUUGUAAACCGCUUUCGCCUGUGACGAAGCGUGAGUGACGGUAAUGGGUAAAGAAGCACCGGCUAACUACGUG
This 468-nucleotide ribosomal RNA is filed under the name uncultured bacterium. RNAcentral describes it as "partial 16S ribosomal RNA". It matches the Rfam family "Bacterial small subunit ribosomal RNA", at positions 28 to 507 of the family's 1533-position model. The record is from RNAcentral.